AAUCACCUGUAAACUCCUCCUCGUGCAGGUUAAGGCGGCGGCUUCCCAAUUAGACUAGGGCACGCCGCGUCGAUCGAUAAUAAUCGUGUGUGUUUGAGUGUAUUCAUAAUUCAGUGCUGAAUCGCUGGAUCGAUGUUUCAAAUUCGUUAUGUUAUCCGUUUCGAAGCCCAAAAACAGUAAACAAUGAAGAAGAUGCUCCAGAAAAACAAAACUUUGUUCUAUUGCUGCCUCUAGUGGGUAAAAUUCUGACAAUACAGGUAUGGAAGCGUCCCGUGGACGUGAUGUUAAUCUUAUGGCCCCUGUUAUCAGCUCAGAUGUCAACCUCGGUAAUACUAACACCGAGCUUUCCCUGGCCAUCCUCCCUCCACAAGCACCAGGCGGAACUAUUCCAAGGAAACGACGCAGGCCUUGUUACGGGUGGAUUGAUGAUGAGGACGACAUUGAUGACAUUGUGCACUUAAGAACUUCUCCUGGUCGGCAAGGAAUAAAAUUAAUUUUACCAGAAUUGGCACCAAGUGGACAAAGAGAAAUGCCAACAUUUCUCGAGAUGUGUUUGUGUUUAUGCAGCUGACGAGGUAAAAGAACCUAGAGGCUGGCACCACCUCUAGGAAUUUCCGACCUUGUUCCAAAGCACAAGGAUGAGUUCCAUCUUCCCUCAGCGAGCUCUAUGUAGGUGUCUAGAAUUUUGUGCUGAGCUCCUAGCCGACCCUGCCAUAAAACAAACCCAAUACAGUCUUAUUCACGUAAAGAUUGUUUUGUUUAAUAAUAUCCGGGAGACGGAUGGCUCAUAAAUGGUGAAGUAAACAAGGAAGAUGAUUUGCAGUAAACAAUGAAGAUGAUGCUCCAAAAUGAUGAAAAACAAUUAUCUAAGGCCCGCUAAUUUGCUAGUAACCAUAUUGUCUUAUUCUUAUUCCUAUGUAAGAUCAGGGCUCAAAAGACUUAAAAUAGAUGAUGUUCAAGUAACCAUUAAGUUACUUGAAGUAUUUCUAGUAUUUGUCUGUUUAUUUAUUGACCUGUAUAAUGUAUAUAAUAAGCUUGUGUGUGUGUUAAAACAGGAUUCUGCAUUUUGGAACAGUGGUUCAUAAUUGACCAAUUUUCUUC
Molecule: RNA transcript, 1101 nt
Organism: Daucus carota subsp. sativus
Lineage: Eukaryota; Viridiplantae; Streptophyta; Magnoliopsida; Apiales; Apiaceae
Exons: 6
Source: RefSeq, a predicted model, not a curated record